UAGUCACAUAUAGUCAUAUACAUGUAGUCAUAUGUAGUUAUAUAUAGUUACAUAUGGUCAUAUACAUGUAGUCAUAUAUAGUCACGUGUAGUAAAAUAUAGUUAUAUAAAAGCUAUGCGUUUUUUCUGUGUACAUUGAUGUUGAUGAUUGUGAUUUUAUAUUUUUUUGUUGGGUACUAAUUGAUUUAUAAUAUUAAGAUUCAAA
This 204-nucleotide long non-coding RNA is filed under the name Erythranthe guttata (spotted monkey flower). Its description in RNAcentral is "long non-coding RNA (EGUT_LNC003047)". Lineage: Eukaryota; Viridiplantae; Streptophyta; Magnoliopsida; Lamiales; Phrymaceae. The record is from RNAcentral.